GUUUGUGUCUCCAGGCUCCACCCGGCCGUCUCCAAGGAGAUUUGUGUCCACAAGUCGAGGUCUGCGUGACUUUUUGGGUGUUUGUGGAGCCUGGAAGGUUUGAGGAUUAGGAGCCCAGCGGUGUGGCGGGUUCAGGCCUCCAGUCAGCCGUGCUGCUGGACGCCGCCGGGGCCCGCCAGCCGGUUAACCGGUCAGCCGGGGUCAGCCAAGGUCAGCGGCUCCUGCUGCUCAGCUUCUAGACCUGGAGGGUCCAGGAAGGAGAGAACCUGGAAAACAAACAGAGUCAAGGAGAGCAAAAUUACUCAAAAACACCAAAAACUCAGAGUUUGGUUCCAUCGUCCUGCCUGAAGACCCAACUGGAGCUUUUCCAGCACCCAGCUGCUGAUUUAAGGUGGAGGACGUCUGCACCAGUUCUUCACCUCGACUCAACCAAAGCUAACUCUGCCAUAAACAGUUUAUCCAUCAGAAUGAUGCUACAAGCUAACGCCUUCACCUCAAGUUCAUUCUCGUUCAUGAUGGUGAAGUCGUUCAUUAGGAAACGCAGGCAGCAUCCUGCCAGUCAACCAGGCAGAUUAGAUUCACCCUCCCUCCCUGGAAUGACGUUUGCUUUGAUUUUAAAAAGUUUACAUCCCAAUAACUAACACAUGAUGAAAAAAUUAAACGCUAGCUACUCGCUAGGUUUUGCAAGCAUGUAAAGAAGCAAAAUGUCUGUCACCUCAAUGAGCUUCACCUCAAUGAGCUUCACCUCACUGAGCUUCACCUCAAGCUCACUGAGGCGAAGGCGUGAGUUAGUUAACCCUCAAGACUUUAACGCGUUCAUUUCAGGUAAUUAAUUAUGCAUUAAACUUUUUAACACAACUAAACACUUUUUUUUUACAUACAAAGGUUUUAACCGGAACCUUUGUAUUCACGUAUUUCCGGUACGCCGGUAAUUCUGACGCACAAGCUGUCAUGUUCUGUGUUUUUCUGUGUAUUUAUUUCGAGUUUCUGUGUCUCUGAGUUUCCCUGUUGUCCCGUCUCCCUCGAUUAGUUCCCAGGUGUGUCUCAUUCUCUGAUUACCUCGUGUGUGUCUCUGUGUCUCUGUGUCUCUGUCGGGUCCUUGUCUACGCAGUCGUUUGUUUGCCUCAAGUCUGUCUAGCUGUGAUUACCUAGUCCUUCGUUGCUCCAGUGCUACCGACGUUGAGCCCUGGCUUUCUGCUCAGUCGUGCUGCCUGGCAGUGAACUACUAGGUUUUGUCUGGACUGUGGAUCAGUAUUUAUCAUUAAAACAACCAUCAAUCAUCUCAACCUGGGUCUACAGCGUUUGUCUCGCCACCUUCACCGUUUCAUGACUCAAGCAACAUCCGCUAACAACAGCGAUGCAUCCAAGACGCUCCUGUUGGGUUUUACCAAACAUUUCAGCAUAAACCCAAAACCAACAGAAACAGUUCAAUUCAAUGAUUUAACUUUACUGAGUUUUUCCAACCGUCAAUUCAAAAGGAAUCAGAAGAAUUAUAAUUUCCAGAGACUCAAUAAACAAAACGUGAAUUUUUUCACUGUUUUCUUUAGAUUUAUAACAUUUCAACAUUUCCACAUGAAUCGACUCCAAAACAGAUCAAUUUAAAGCAAAGAGCUGGAAGAGGAGGAACCGUCAUCCACAGGUUUCAGCUACACAAUCCUAAUUAUGCAGUUUGGGGUUAAUCCUGUAAACACUCUCACUAAUCUAAUCUGCUUCAGCUUAAUGAGACAGAAUGUAAAUGUUGACCCGGUCAUCGUUCGUUCUGUGGGGGGAAACCGGGUUUUAAUGCUUCCAGCUUUUUUAUUUUCUCAUUAGCAUCAGGAUUAGAUGUGUUUGUUAUCAGUGGCAGAGCCGUUAGUGAGCUGAUGGCAGUAAUGGAGGCCUGCUGUCUGAACUGGGCUGCAGAUAAAACCAACUGGUUUAGGUUGAGCCUGUGGUGAAGCAGAACCACACCAACUGGACCCGUGUAGACGGAUCGGUUCCUCCAGAAGAACAGAAAGAACCAGGAGAAUAACCCAAUGAAAAGACGUUCAGAGCUCAAACUCUAACGGAUUUUACUAAAAUUUUAUGUGAAAAACCAAAACAAAGUUGUGCUUAUUGGUGCAAUGGAAGCAACUUUUCUGCUAAAUUACCAAAUAAAUAGACAUGUGAGCUAAACAGCAAAGAUAUUUAUAGUUUUUAAUCUGUUAUUCAACCAUCAGAUUGGAGCAACGUGUUGUUCUCCAUUAAGCUGCCCAGAGCUUCUUUAGAAAUGUAGACAGCGGACGCUGACAUUAGCAUUAGCCGCUACAUGUUAGCAUUGAGAGGCUACUUUAGGUUUGAAUAGUUUCACUGAUACGCUAACUGCUGUUAGCACAACUUGAACACAACAGUCAGCGUCCAAUCAGAUUGUUUUUUAAAGCAGAACUCAACCGUCAGUGGGCUGAGAGAAGCAGCUUCGUCGUCCAUCGCUGUUGUUAGCGGAUGUUGGUUGUGCAUCAGAUUUACUGCUGUACCAGAAACACCUGAACACAAAGGUUCCG
Xiphophorus hellerii (green swordtail) is the source of this 2519-nucleotide long non-coding RNA. RefSeq lists it as uncharacterized. The transcript has 2 exons. The record is from RefSeq and is a predicted model, not a curated record. NCBI's taxonomy places the organism in Eukaryota, Metazoa, Chordata, Actinopteri, Cyprinodontiformes, Poeciliidae.